RNAcentral lists this ribosomal RNA (532 nucleotides) under uncultured bacterium. RNAcentral's name for it is "bacterial SSU rRNA". It matches the Rfam family "Bacterial small subunit ribosomal RNA", at positions 971 to 1501 of the family's 1533-position model. The record is from RNAcentral.
UUACCAAGGUUUGACACCAUAUUGAAGGUAACAGAAAUGUUGCCGCCAGCAAUGGCAGUAUGACAGGUGGUGCAUGGUUGUCGUCAGCUCGUGUCGUGAGAUGUUGGGUUAAGUCCCGCAACGAGCGCAACCCUCUUCCCAUGUUGCCAUCAGGUUAUGCUGGGCACUCUUGGGAUACUGCCAGUGUAAAACUGGAGGAAGGUGGGGAUGACGUCAAAUCAUCAUGCCCUUUAUACCUUGGGCUGCACACGUGCUACAAUGGUCUGUACAAAGAGCUGCGAUACUGUGAAGUGGAGCGAAUCUCAGAAAACAGAUCUAAGUCCAGAUUGAAGGCUGCAACUCGCCUUCAUGAAGUCGGAGUCGCUAGUAAUCGUGGAUCAGCACGCCACGGUGAAUACGUUCCCGGGCCUUGUACACACCGCCCGUCACACCACGAAAGUCGGAUACACCCGAAGCCAGUGGGCUAACCUGCAAGGGGGGCAGCUGUCGAAGGUGGAAUCGAUGAUUGGGGUGAAGUCGUAACAAGGUAGCC